CUUGAUCCACUGAGUCUUCGGAAACCUGAGGAAGAUCAAGCUCGGGGAUUGACCAAUCCGAUACAGCAGCCAAAGCAACAAGACCUAUGCAGUCCCUCUCCAUCUCCUUCAAACGAGCAAGUUCAGCAUCCACAUUUAUGGUCCCAUCCUUGAGCUCGUUUAGAAGGUCGAUGUUGGCAACCACCUCUUGCAACUAGAUCUCAGCUGACGCCUCCUUCUUCUUGUUCGCCCAUUUAUCCUUCAAAGACUCUAGGAUCUCUC
This 261-nucleotide long non-coding RNA is filed under the name Brassica napus (rape). RNAcentral's name for it is "long non-coding RNA (BNAP_LNC011623)". Lineage: Eukaryota; Viridiplantae; Streptophyta; Magnoliopsida; Brassicales; Brassicaceae. The record is from RNAcentral.